Molecule: long non-coding RNA, 701 nt
Filed under: Trifolium pratense (red clover)
Lineage: Eukaryota; Viridiplantae; Streptophyta; Magnoliopsida; Fabales; Fabaceae
Description: long non-coding RNA (TPRA_LNC007659)
Source: RNAcentral
UUAUAUCAAAGAAGUGUGUGUACUCUCCACUAAUCUGUUUAUGGUAUAGUUUUUAAUCAAGGUAAUUACCUACUUAACAUGACUACAUUGAAAGAAACAAGCUGAUUCCAACUUCUAUUAGUUUCUUAUCGUACAUCAAUUAUAUAGAUCUUUCAUUCAUAUGAAUUUAACUAUUUAACUAUAAAUCAAAGUUGUGAUUUUUUAUUCUGUUUAAGUUAAUGGUCAUUCAUGAGAUAAAUAUACAUUGAGAAAAGACAUGUUGUUAUGUUGUAACUGUUGAUUACCUUUACGAAGUUGCAUUGUGAUUUUUAUUGGUGAUUCAUUGGAUCACAAUUUAAGCAUAUAUAUUAUAUGAAAUGUUGAUUGAUGCAAAAACUAAUUCUUAUAUUAUUUUUUAGUUUAUGAAUAUUUCUAUAACUUUCGCUUUCUUAUAAAUUUAUGAAUGGUUUUUUCACUUUGAAUAUUUAAGGCCUCACUUAAAAGAAAGACUUCACUUUGCAAGCACUCAAGUAAAUAGUGUUGGAACAUAAAAGCCAAAGUGCUUAUAUAGUGAUGAUUAAGCUUUCUAUGGUUCUUUAUUUGUUUGAUUUGAUUCUACUACCAAUCUCAUUGAUGCUAUGUUGCUCUGUAUGUUGCAGUUGCCAAUGUCUUAAUUUGUAAAUGAGGAUUUGGUAAUGAUUUUGGUGGUUCUUAAAUGGGUG